UUCGACUGUUUACCAAAAACAUAGCCUCUAUAAAAAUAUUAGAGGUGAUGCCUGCCCAGUGGGGAUGGUAUAAAAAAUUAUAGUGAAAUUUUAUUUUCCCUAAACGGAUGCGGUAACUCUGACUGUAAUAAAGUAGCAUAAUUAAUUGUCAUUUAAUUGGUGGAGAGAAUGAAUGGCUAAACGUAUGUCUCAUUGUCUUGGGGGAAAGUUUUUGAAAUUAGAAUAAUAGUGAAGAUCCUAUUAAUCACCGUUAGACGAAAAGACCCUAUAGAGCUUGACUAUACUCUGGAAAUGACUUUCUGGAUUGGUAGUUUAGUUGGGGCGACUAUCUUUUAUAAGUAACAAAGAUAAGCAUAAUAAUGAAAAAGUUUUAUUGUUUAAUUAAUAAAUUUAACAAUUACUAAAGUAGGCUAUAAUGACCCAUUAGAAUUAAAAUAAAUCUAAUGAUUAUUAAAUAAAAGCUACCUUAGGGAUAACAGGAUAAUUUUGUUUUAGAGAUCAUAUCAAAUACAAAGUUUGUCACCUCUAUGUUGAAUUAAGAUGACCGAAUAAUGCAGAAGUUAUUUAAGGUAGGUCUGUUCGACCUUUAAAAUCUUACAUGAUUUGAGUUCAUUCCGUA
Molecule: ribosomal RNA, 619 nt
Filed under: Ectopleura larynx
Lineage: Eukaryota; Metazoa; Cnidaria; Hydrozoa; Anthoathecata; Tubulariidae
Description: partial 16S ribosomal RNA
Rfam family: Bacterial large subunit ribosomal RNA
Source: RNAcentral